RNAcentral lists this ribosomal RNA (1497 nucleotides) under Escherichia coli. RNAcentral describes it as "partial 23S ribosomal RNA". It matches the Rfam family "Bacterial large subunit ribosomal RNA", at positions 375 to 1861 of the family's 2925-position model. The record is from RNAcentral. Lineage: Bacteria; Pseudomonadati; Pseudomonadota; Gammaproteobacteria; Enterobacterales; Enterobacteriaceae.
GUACACAAAAAUGCACAUGCUGUGAGCUCGAUGAGUAGGGCGGGACACGUGGUAUCCUGUCUGAAUAUGGGGGGACCAUCCUCCAAGGCUAAAUACUCCUGACUGACCGAUAGUGAACCAGUACCGUGAGGGAAAGGCGAAAAGAACCCCGGCGAGGGGAGUGAAAAAGAACCUGAAACCGUGUACGUACAAGCAGUGGGAGCCUCUUAAUGGGGUGACUGCGUACCUUUUGUAUAAUGGGUCAGCGACUUAUAUUCUGUAGCAAGGUUAACCGAAUAGGGGAGCCGAAGGGAAACCGAGUCUUAACUGGGCGUUAAGUUGCAGGGUAUAGACCCGAAACCCGGUGAUCUAGCCAUGGGCAGGUUGAAGGUUGGGUAACACUAACUGGAGGACCGAACCGACUAAUGUUGAAAAAUUAGCGGAUGACUUGUGGCUGGGGGUGAAAGGCCAAUCAAACCGGGAGAUAGCUGGUUCUCCCCGAAAGCUAUUUAGGUAGCGCCUCGUGAAUUCAUCUCCGGGGGUAGAGCACUGUUUCGGCAAGGGGGUCAUCCCGACUUACCAACCCGAUGCAAACUGCGAAUACCGGAGAAUGUUAUCACGGGAGACACACGGCGGGUGCUAACGUCCGUCGUGAAGAGGGAAACAACCCAGACCGCCAGCUAAGGUCCCAAAGUCAUGGUUAAGUGGGAAACGAUGUGGGAAGGCCCAGACAGCCAGGAUGUUGGCUUAGAAGCAGCCAUCAUUUAAAGAAAGCGUAAUAGCUCACUGGUCGAGUCGGCCUGCGCGGAAGAUGUAACGGGGCUAAACCAUGCACCGAAGCUGCGGCAGCGACGCUUAUGCGUUGUUGGGUAGGGGAGCGUUCUGUAAGCCUGUGAAGGUGUGCUGUGAGGCAUGCUGGAGGUAUCAGAAGUGCGAAUGCUGACAUAAGUAACGAUAAAGCGGGUGAAAAGCCCGCUCGCCGGAAGACCAAGGGUUCCUGUCCAACGUUAAUCGGGGCAGGGUGAGUCGACCCCUAAGGCGAGGCCGAAAGGCGUAGUCGAUGGGAAACAGGUUAAUAUUCCUGUACUUGGUGUUACUGCGAAGGGGGGACGGAGAAGGCUAUGUUGGCCGGGCGACGGUUGUCCCGGUUUAAGCGUGUAGGCUGGUUUUCCAGGCAAAUCCGGAAAACCAAGGCUGAGGCGUGAUGACGAGGCACUACGGUGCUGAAGCGACAAAUGCCCUGCUUCCAGGAAAAGCCUCUAAGCAUCAGGUAACAUCAAAUCGUACCCCAAACCGACACAGGUGGUCAGGUAGAGAAUACCAAGGCGCUUGAGAGAACUCGGGUGAAGGAACUAGGCAAAAUGGUGCCGUAACUUCGGGAGAAGGCACGCUGAUAUGUAGGUGAAGCGACUUGCUCGUGGAGCUGAAAUCAGUCGAAGAUACCAGCUGGCUGCAACUGUUUAUUAAAAACACAGCACUGUGCAAACACGAAAGUGGACGUAUACGGUGUGACGCCUG